GUUUGCAAAGAGGUAACUUCUGAUUGUACUGGGUUUCAGGCCAUGGAAUUGGAUGAUCAAGCUAAUACCUCUGAAGUGAUUUGCCAGGAAAAUGAUGAUAAUAAUAAGUCCGGUGCACUAAAUCUUGUAGUGGAUUUGAACCCAUACGUGAGCAUUGAUGGGAAUGAUUUAGGUAAUGUAAAUGUGAAAGUAUCUGCCUCCAAGCUGGAAUUCAGUGUUUCUGACCUUGUAUGGGGCAAAGUGAGAAGCCAUCCCUGGUGGCCUGGGCAGAUAUUUGAUCCUUCUGAUUCCUCAGAGAAGGCAAAGAAGUAUUUUAAAAGGGAUAGCUAUUUAAUUG
RNAcentral lists this unclassified non-coding RNA (337 nucleotides) under Hevea brasiliensis (rubber tree). Lineage: Eukaryota; Viridiplantae; Streptophyta; Magnoliopsida; Malpighiales; Euphorbiaceae. The record is from RNAcentral.